This 2673-nucleotide long non-coding RNA is filed under the name Marmota monax (woodchuck). The stretch from base 766 to 836 matches the Rfam family "tRNA". Lineage: Eukaryota; Metazoa; Chordata; Mammalia; Rodentia; Sciuridae. The record is from RNAcentral.
ACUCAUACAGAUUUAUACAUGAACACAUGUUUACAUAUUCCCAUAUGCAAAUAGCAAACACAAUGGGAUCAUUCUUAACAUAUGUGUCCAGUUUGCUUUUUCAUUCGACACGAUGUGGGAAAAUAAGUUUGUGCUCAGGAUGACAUGUGGUCAGACCGGUAGAAAUACGACAAGAUCUCCAGCCAGGUUUCCAAAUUACAUUCAUCAGAGGCUUUGAUGUGUUAGGUGGGGAGCCAGCAAGCCCUCAAAGAGCUUAUUAGUGCUAAAGAUUUGCUCUAGAAGGUCAUAUGCUCAAGGGAGUGGGUGCACGCACGGGCACAGUUUGUGGACUCACUCACGAUAACAACCCAUUAGGAAUCAUCAGGAGUGUAAGGUUGGAGCCUGAUGGCCACAUGCUCUUCCUCUGUGCCAACCUGAGUUUGCCAGUGAAGUCACGUUCAUUGCUCCCAGUAAGAGAGUUUUGAACUGAAGGAGGCUCAUGGGCUACCUAGUCCAGUUCCCUUCUGUAUAGCUGAGGACCCCAAGGCCAGGAAGGUGAGUUGACUUGGCUUGUGGCCCAGGUCUCCAGAACCCCAGUAUGGGGAUCUUCUUGUAUACCAUAUGCUUUAUUUAUUUAUUUAUUUUUAAAGAAACCAUUAAAGAUUGACUGGGGUGUAGCUCCGUGUUAGAGCACUUGCCUAGCAUGUACCCUAGCAUGGGCCCUGAUUUCAGACCCCAGCACCACCAAAAACCAAACCCAGACAAAACAAGUUAAAAAGUGGGGAUGGGGUGGUGGCUCAGUGGUAGAGCACCUGCCUGGCCUGUUCGAGGCACUGGGUUCGAUUCUCAGCACCCCAUGUAAAUAAAUAAAAUAAAGGUCCAUUGACAAUUAAAAAAAAGUUUUUAAAAAAAGUUAAAAAGUUAAAGCUCACCCAAUUCUAAAUCUCAUUCAUUCAUCCCACCUUUGAUGUAAAUUAAGAAUUACAUCCCAAGGAGCCACCGUCCUUUGGCAAGCAUGGCCUUGAAGCCUUAUCUAUCUGAACACUUCUGCUCCUCUCCACCCACCUGAGGGGAGAGCGCAUACAGAUCUGUGCAGGAGGUGGCCAGCCUUCUGUCCUUCACAGUAGCUUGUAAGAAGAGCUGGUGAAUUCAUGGCUCAAGUGACAAAGUCACUGUUGUCCCACUUCUUUGUUUGCAUUCCUGGGGAGAAAGUGGUCCUCCACAGCCUGAAGCUUUGUGGCUUUGUGGCGCGGAUGUUGCUGGUUUCCCUUUGAACAUGUUUCCAAAUCACCACCUGAAGAAUUCCUGGGCUCCGCUUCAUUUAACAUACUGCUAUUGCACACCCACAAAGGACAAAGCUCCAGAAGAGACGGAGAGAUGUAACAGCACAGAUCUUACCACCAGAAGAACAAGCCAAGCCAAGAAUUUGUUGUAGGACAUAGGAGGACUUCUGAGAGAUGCUGUCGCAGAGGGGCCAGGACCAUGAUUCAGGCACGAGGGAUUGGGGAGCAUCAAGGUGGGCUUCUGUGAGGACAGUAAGGGCAGCCACAGGCUGGAUGGCUGUUGAGCAGUUAGACUGGGCGGUCAGGUGAGGAAAGGUCCUGUGUGGGGAAAGUGUUUCUGGGAAAACUGCUCAUUCAGUUUGACCAGGGCCUGGAGUACAAAUGCUGGGGCAUUUGUGGUGUGAAAUUGGGGGUGUUCUGGAGGAGCAUCCAGUGACAAGAGUGGCCUCUUUACACAUUUGGGAGAUUAUGGAAAGGGAGAGGGCAGGGGUUUUUGAGUUGGGCAGUGGCAUUAUGGGAGAUUAAUCUAGGGAGAAGAGGGCUAUAAGGAUGGUGUUGGCAGAUGAGACAUUUGGAAAACCAGUGAGAAAGGGAGUUCCUGUAAGAGGCCACGAGAGCUGUGGCAUUGGAGGGGCCGGGAGAACACACAGGAAGGUGAGGUCUGAGCAUGGACGGAUGAGAGGGGCAGGGAGCGGGUAUCAAAGAGCUGGUUCUGGCAAUUGAGAGCAGAGUUGCACCAUCAAAAACCAAAGCAGCUGGGUGCAGGGGCGCACGUCUGUCAUCCCAGCAGCUCAGGAGGCUGAGGCAGGAGGAUCAUGAGUUCAAAGCCAGCCUCAGCAACGGCGAGCACAAAGCGACUCAGCGAGACCCUGUCUCUGAAUAAAAUACAAAGUAGGGCUGAGGAUGUGGUUCAGUGGCUGAGUGCUCCUGAGUUCAAUCCCUGGUGCCCACCUCCCCCAAACAAAACAAAGUAAAACAACAAAACAAAGCCAUACAGACGACAAGACCCAACUAUAUAAAAACACAAGCUCCUCCAAGGCAGAGCUGGUUUUAGAGGCUGGGGACGGGUGAAAAGAUGGUUUUGACAUUUUGAAAAUACUGAACUUGAGGUAUUGGAGAGCUAUGCCAUUGGAGAUGUCCAGCCCGCAGUCAGAUGUGCCAAUUGGGCCAGAAGUGCCUACUAAAGAUUUGGCCACUGGAUUUUGGCACACUUUCUCUGAGGCAGAGAAGAAAGGAGAUCAGGACUGGAGUUAGCACAGCAGGAACUUGGGAGUGCAUUUCUCACAUUCCUGGCCCUUGAUUCCUCUGAGAAUAUGGGCAGGUGACAUAGCAUUCCUGAGCCUCAGUUUCCCCACUUGUGAGAUGGGGGACAGCUGUGUGUUCAAACUCAGGGAGUUGUGUGAAGGUGAGC